This 253-nucleotide ribosomal RNA is filed under the name uncultured bacterium. RNAcentral describes it as "partial 16S ribosomal RNA". It matches the Rfam family "Bacterial small subunit ribosomal RNA", at positions 524 to 776 of the family's 1533-position model. The record is from RNAcentral.
UACGAAGGGGGCUAGCGUUGUUCGGAAUUACUGGGCGUAAAGCGCACGUAGGCGGAUAUUUAAGUCAGGGGUGAAAUCCCGGGGCUCAACCCCGGAACUGCCUUUGAUACUGGGUAUCUCGAGUCCGAGAGAGGUGAGUGGAAUUCCGAGUGUAGAGGUGAAAUUCGUAGAUAUUCGGAAGAACACCAGUGGCGAAGGCGGCUCACUGGCCCGGUACUGACGCUGAGGUGCGAAAGCGUGGGGAGCAAACAGG